RNAcentral lists this ribosomal RNA (728 nucleotides) under Paenibacillus lautus. Its description in RNAcentral is "bacterial SSU rRNA". It matches the Rfam family "Bacterial small subunit ribosomal RNA", at positions 61 to 769 of the family's 1533-position model. The record is from RNAcentral. Lineage: Bacteria; Bacillati; Bacillota; Bacilli; Caryophanales; Paenibacillaceae.
GUCGAGCGGAGUUGAUGAGGUGCUUGCACCUCUGAUGCUUAGCGGCGGACGGGUGAGUAACACGUAGGCAACCUGCCCUCAAGACUGGGAUAACUACCGGAAACGGUAGCUAAUACCGGAUAAUCGAUCUGGCUGCAUGGCCGGAUUAUAAAAGGCGGAACAAUCUGUCACUUGGGGAUGGGCCUGCGGCGCAUUAGCUAGUUGGUGAGGUAACGGCUCACCAAGGCGACGAUGCGUAGCCGACCUGAGAGGGUGAACGGCCACACUGGGACUGAGACACGGCCCAGACUCCUACGGGAGGCAGCAGUAGGGAAUCUUCCGCAAUGGACGAAAGUCUGACGGAGCAACGCCGCGUGAGUGAUGAAGGUUUUCGGAUCGUAAAGCUCUGUUGCCAAGGAAGAACGUCUUCUAGAGUAACUGCUAGAAGAGUGACGGUACUUGAGAAGAAAGCCCCGGCUAACUACGUGCCAGCAGCCGCGGUAAUACGUAGGGGGCAAGCGUUGUCCGGAAUUAUUGGGCGUAAAGCGCGCGCAGGCGGUUCUUUAAGUCUGGUGUUUAAACCAUGGGCUCAACUUGUGGUCGCACUGGAAACUGGGGGACUUGAGUGCAGAAGAGGAGAGUGGAAUUCCACGUGUAGCGGUGAAAUGCGUAGAUAUGUGGAGGAACACCAGUGGCGAAGGCGACUCUCUGGGCUGUAACUGACGCUGAGGCGCGAAAGCGUGGGGAGC